GGUUAAGCGACUAAGCGUACACGGUGGAUGCCCUGGCAGUCAGAGGCGAUGAAGGGCGUGCUAAUCUGCGAUAAGCGCCGGUAAGGUGAUAUGAACCGUUAUAACCGGCGAUACCCGAAUGGGGAAACCCAGUGUGAUUCGUCACACUAUCAUUAACUGAAUCCAUAGGUUAAUGAGGCGAACCGGGGGAACUGAAACAUCUAAGUACCCCGAGGAAAAGAAAUCAACCGAGAUUCCCCCAGUAGCGGCGAGCGAACGGGGAGGAGCCCAGAGCCUGAAUCAGCAUGUGUGUUAGUGGAAGCGUCUGGAAAGGCGCGCGAUACAGGGUGACAGCCCCGUACACAAAAGCGCAUGUGCUGUGAGCUCGAUGAGUAGGGCGGGACACGUGGUAUCCUGUCUGAAUAUGGGGGGACCAUCCUCCAAGGCUAAAUACUCCUGACUGACCGAUAGUGAACCAGUACCGUGAGGGAAAGGCGAAAAGAACCCCGGCGAGGGGAGUGAAAAAGAACCUGAAAUCGUGUACGUACAAGCAGUGGGAGCACAGGUUUACCUGUGUGACUGCGUACCUUUUGUAUAAUGGGUCAGCGACUUAUAUUCUGUAGCAAGGUUAACCGAAUAGGGGAGCCGGAGGGAAACCGAGUCUUAAUUGGGCGUUAAGUUGCAGGGUAUAGACCCGAAACCCGGUGAUCUAGCCAUGGGCAGGUUGAAGGUUGGGUAACACUAACUGGAGGACCGAACCGACUAAUGUUGAAAAAUUAGCGGAUGACCUGUGGCUGGGGGUGAAAGGCCAAUCAAACCGGGAGAUAGCUGGUUCUCCCCGAAAGCUAUUUAGGUAGCGCCUCGUGAAUUCAUCUCCGGGGGUAGAGCACUGUUUCGGCUAGGGGGCCAUCCCGGCUUACCAACCCGAUGCAAACUGCGAAUACCGGAGAAUGUUAUCACGGGAGACACACGGCGGGUGCUAACGUCCGUCGUGAAGAGGGAAACAACCCAGACCGCCAGCUAAGGUCCCAAAGUCAUGGUUAAGUGGGAAACGAUGUGGGAAGGCCCAGACAGCCAGGAUGUUGGCUUAGAAGCAGCCAUCAUUUAAAGAAAGCGUAAUAGCUCACUGGUCGAGUCGGCCUGCGCGGAAGAUGUAACGGGGCUAAACCAUGCACCGAAGCUGCGGCAGCGACGCUUAUGCGUUGUUGGGUAGGGGAGCGUUCUGUAAGCCUGUGAAGGUGGCCUGUGAGGGUUGCUGGAGGUAUCAGAAGUGCGAAUGCUGACAUAAGUAACGAUAAAGCGGGUGAAAAGCCCGCUCGCCGGAAGACCAAGGGUUCCUGUCCAACGUUAAUCGGGGCAGGGUGAGUCGACCCCUAAGGCGAGGCCGAAAGGCGUAGUCGAUGGGAAACGGGUUAAUAUUCCCGUACUUGGUGUUACUGCGAAGGGGGACGGAGAAGGCUAUGUUGGCCGGGCGACGGUUGCCCCGGUUUAAGCGUGUAGGUGUGUGUUCCAGGUAAAUCCGGUUCACUUUAACACUGAGGCGUGAUGACGAGGCACUACGGUGCUGAAGUAACAAAUGCCCUGCUUCCAGGAAAAGCCUCUAAGCAUCAGGUAACAUCAAAUCGUACCCCAAACCGACACAGGUGGUCAGGUAGAGAAUACCAAGGCGCUUGAGAGAACUCGGGUGAAGGAACUAGGCAAAAUGGUGCCGUAACUUCGGGAGAAGGCACGCUGACACGUAGGUGAAGUGAUUUACUCACGGAGCUGAAGUCAGUCGAAGAUACCAGCUGGCUGCAACUGUUUAUUAAAAACACAGCACUGUGCAAACACGAAAGUGGACGUAUACGGUGUGACGCCUGCCCGGUGCCGGAAGGUUAAUUGAUGGGGUCAGCGCAAGCGAAGCUCCUGAUCGAAGCCCCGGUAAACGGCGGCCGUAACUAUAACGGUCCUAAGGUAGCGAAAUUCCUUGUCGGGUAAGUUCCGACCUGCACGAAUGGCGUAAUGAUGGCCAGGCUGUCUCCACCCGAGACUCAGUGAAAUUGAACUCGCUGUGAAGAUGCAGUGUACCCGCGGCAAGACGGAAAGACCCCGUGAACCUUUACUAUAGCUUGACACUGAACAUUGAGCCUUGAUGUGUAGGAUAGGUGGGAGGCUUUGAAGUGUGGACGCCAGUCUGCAUGGAGCCGACCUUGAAAUACCACCCUUUAAUGUUUGAUGUUCUAACGUGGACCCGUUACCCGGGUUGCGGACAGUGUCUGGUGGGUAGUUUGACUGGGGCGGUCUCCUCCUAAAGAGUAACGGAGGAGCACGAAGGUUGGCUAAUCCUGGUCGGACAUCAGGAGGUUAGUGCAAUGGCAUAAGCCAGCUUGACUGCGAGCGUGACGGCGCGAGCAGGUGCGAAAGCAGGUCAUAGUGAUCCGGUGGUUCUGAAUGGAAGGGCCAUCGCUCAACGGAUAAAAGGUACUCCGGGGAUAACAGGCUGAUACCGCCCAAGAGUUCAUAUCGACGGCGGUGUUUGGCACCUCGAUGUCGGCUCAUCACAUCCUGGGGCUGAAGUAGGUCCCAAGGGUAUGGCUGUUCGCCAUUUAAAGUGGUACGCGAGCUGGGUUUAGAACGUCGUGAGACAGUUCGGUCCCUAUCUGCCGUGGGCGCUGGAGAACUGAGGGGGCUGCUCCUAGUACGAGAGGACCGGAGUGGACGCAUCACUGGUGUUCGGGUUGUCAUGCCAAUGGCACUGCCCGGUAGCUAAAUGCGGAAGAGAUAAGUGCUGAAAGCAUCUAAGCACGAAACUUGCCCCGAGAUGAGUUCUCCCUGAGACUUAAAGUCUCCUGAAGGAACGUUGAAGACGACGACGUUGAUAGGCCGGGUGUGUAAGCGCAGCGAUGCGUUGAGCUAACCGGUACUAAUGAACCGUGAGGCUUAACCCU
RNAcentral lists this ribosomal RNA (2906 nucleotides) under Salmonella enterica subsp. enterica serovar Dublin. Its description in RNAcentral is "23S ribosomal RNA". It matches the Rfam family "Bacterial large subunit ribosomal RNA". The record is from RNAcentral. Lineage: Bacteria; Pseudomonadati; Pseudomonadota; Gammaproteobacteria; Enterobacterales; Enterobacteriaceae.